RNAcentral lists this ribosomal RNA (442 nucleotides) under uncultured bacterium. RNAcentral's name for it is "partial 16S ribosomal RNA". It matches the Rfam family "Bacterial small subunit ribosomal RNA", at positions 338 to 795 of the family's 1533-position model. The record is from RNAcentral.
CCUACGGGAGGCAGCAGUGGGGAAUAUUGGGCAAUGGGCGCAAGCCUGACCCAGCAACGCCGCGUGAAGGAAGAAGGCUUUCGGGUUGUAAACUUCUUUUCUCAGGGACGAAGCAAGUGACGGUACCUGAGGAAUAAGCCACGGCUAACUACGUGCCAGCAGCCGCGGUAAUACGUGGGUGGCAAGCGUUAUCCGGAUUUACUGGGUGUAAAGGGCGUGUAGGCGGGACGGAAAGUCAGAUGUGAAAACCACGGGCUCAACCUGUGGCCUGCAUUUGAAACUGUAGUUCUUGAGUACUGGGGAGGCAGACGGAAUUCCUGGUGUAGCGGUGAAAUGCGUAGAUAUUAGGAGGAACACCAGUGGCGAAGGCGGUCUGCUGGACAGCAACUGACGCUGAGGCGCGAAAGCGUGGGAGCAAACAGGAUUAGAUACCCUUGUAGUC